AUACGGUGAAUACGUUCCCGGACCUUGCACACACCGCCCGUCAAGCCAUGGAAGCCGGGUGUACCUAAAGUCGGUAACCGUAAGGAGCCGCCUAGGUAAAACUGGUAACUGGGGCU
Molecule: ribosomal RNA, 116 nt
Filed under: uncultured bacterium
Lineage: Bacteria
Description: partial 16S ribosomal RNA
Rfam family: Bacterial small subunit ribosomal RNA
Source: RNAcentral